CGAGUGAAGCGGGAAAAGCUCAAAUUUAAAAUCUGGUGGUGGCCAUCCGAGUUGUAAUCUAGAGAAGUGUUACCCGCGUUGGACCGUGUACAAGUCUCCUGGAAUGGAGCGUCAUAGAGGGUGAGAAUCCCGUCUUUGACACGGACUACCAAGGCUUUGUGGUGCGCUCUCAACGAGUCGAGUUGUUUGGGAAUGCAGCUCAAAAUGGGUGGUAAAUUCCAUCUAAAGCUAAAUACAGGCGAGAGACCGAUAGCGAACAAGUACCGUGAGGGAAAGAUGAAAAGAACUUUGGAAAGAGAGUUAAACAGUACGUGAAAUUGCUGAAAGGGAAACGCUGGAAGUCAGUCGCGUUGGCUAGGAAUCAACCUUACUCUUUUGUAGGGCUUACUUCUUAGUUGACGGGCCAACAUCAAUUUUGAUUGCUGGAGAAAGGCUUAGGAAAUGUGGCACCUUCGGGUGUGUUAUAGUCCUAGGUUGUAUACAGUGGUUGGGAUUGAGGAACGCAGCACGCCGCAGGGUUGGGCUCUGACCACACUCGUGCUUCGGAUGUUGGCAUAAUGGCUUUCAUCGACCCGUCUUGAAACACGGACCAAGGAGUCUAACAUGCCUGCGAGUGUUUGAGUGGUAAACUCGAGCGCACAAUGAAAGUAAUAGUUGAGAUCUCUGUCAUGGAGAGCAUCGACGCCCGGACCUGAUGUUUACUGACGGUUCUGCGGUAGAGCAUGUAUGUUGGGACCCGAAAGAUGGUGAACUAUGCCUGAAUAGGGUGAAGCCAGAGGAAACUC
Molecule: ribosomal RNA, 785 nt
Filed under: Cyathus annulatus
Lineage: Eukaryota; Fungi; Basidiomycota; Agaricomycetes; Agaricales; Nidulariaceae
Description: partial large subunit ribosomal RNA
Rfam family: Eukaryotic large subunit ribosomal RNA
Source: RNAcentral